This 387-nucleotide long non-coding RNA is filed under the name Callithrix jacchus (white-tufted-ear marmoset). Its description in RNAcentral is "lncRNA (ENSCJAG00000075146.1)". The record is from RNAcentral. Lineage: Eukaryota; Metazoa; Chordata; Mammalia; Primates; Cebidae.
CCACCUGCAGAGGGCCUGACACAUCUGUUGGAGCCACUGUAUUCUGAGGUGAGCCAGGUGAGGUUCAGGGGCCUUGCUACCGGGGAGGACCUCAGCUGCCCUGACCCUCCUGUCCCUGGCUUCCCACAGCCAUGCCAUGGCUCUGACCUGAGACUCUGAGUGGCUGCUGGAGGUGCAGAAGGGGAUUGCUGUCCUGCCCCGUGGGAGGGGGAAGGAGGCUGGGAAACCUGGUUGGGGGAGAGGAGGCCACUCCAUGUGCUCCAGCCCAGCCCCGCUUCCUGCCACUCCCUAGAACUCAACUUUAGGGUCAUCACUCUCAACAGUAUGGGUGCCACCAGUGAUUGUGACUUCAUGCCAAGUUCCUAUUCUGGGUUUCACUCUGCAUGA